RNAcentral lists this unclassified non-coding RNA (272 nucleotides) under fungal sp. Its description in RNAcentral is "partial internal transcribed spacer region". The stretch from base 1 to 46 matches the Rfam family "Eukaryotic small subunit ribosomal RNA", at positions 1786 to 1831 of the family's 1831-position model. The record is from RNAcentral. Lineage: Eukaryota; Fungi.
AAGUCGUAACAAGGUUUCCGUAGGUGAACCUGCGGAAGGAUCAUUAACAAAUCAUGUUGGUGUUGAUGGGCUUAGGCCUACUCAACCCAUAUAAACCCAAACCCGCGCAGCAAUGCCGGGCAAGGUGCGCCAUUAGCCUUGAUGGUUGAUGGUGCGGUGAAGACCAACGUCUGAAAGGAUGGCGGUCCGAUCCACAUAGACGCUUGUAUGUUUGACAGAGUUAGUUGACACUUUAAAAAUGACAACUUUUAACAAUGGAUCUCUUGGCUCUU